RNAcentral lists this ribosomal RNA (449 nucleotides) under uncultured bacterium. Its description in RNAcentral is "partial 16S ribosomal RNA". It matches the Rfam family "Bacterial small subunit ribosomal RNA", at positions 354 to 796 of the family's 1533-position model. The record is from RNAcentral.
GUCGAGAAUCUUUCACAAUGGGGGCAACCCUGAUGGAGCGACGCCGCGUGGAGGAUAAGGUCUUCGGAUUGUAAACUCCUGUCAUGCGUGAACAAGGUUGCUUGGAUAAUACCUGAGCAAAUUGAUGGUAGCGCAAGAGGAAGAGACGGCUAACUCUGUGCCAGCAGCCGCGGUAAUACAGAGGUCUCAAGCGUUGUUCGGAAUCACUGGGCGUAAAGGGUGCGUAGGUGGCGUGGCAAGUCAGAUGUGAAAGCCCGGGGCUCAACCUCGGAACUGCAUCGGAUACUGCCAUGCUAGAGUACUGGAGGGGUGACUAGAAUUCUCGGUGUAGCAGUGAAAUGCGUAGAUAUCGAGAGGAAUACCAAAGGCGUAGGCAGGUCACUGGACAGUUACUGACACUGAGGCACGAAGGCCAGGGGAGCGAACGGGAUUAGAUACCCGUGUAGUCC